Molecule: long non-coding RNA, 532 nt
Organism: Armigeres subalbatus
Lineage: Eukaryota; Metazoa; Arthropoda; Insecta; Diptera; Culicidae
Exons: 3
Source: RefSeq, a predicted model, not a curated record
CUUGAUUUUCGCAAACAAAUCAAGCAAUCUGAUGGUCGACUGAAAAACAUUUUUUGUCAAGUGGAAGUGGCCAGAAAUGGAUCGCUGUGAAAUACGCGAGCAGCCGGAGUGCGCGAGAAUGCCAUUGCCAAUUAGUGAGAACAUAUUAUUUGGUUCUGAAACGAAGCAUCCCAACGACCGCAACCUUCCCGGUAGGAAAGGAGUAGUAGAAGUCGGAAAGACGGAAUUUCCAGAGAUAAAUCCACGGAGAUGUAACCAGAUAAAUAUCAACAUAAAACCUGCCUAAAUUCAAAAACAAAACGGCAGUUACAGGAGGACGAAUCAAGUAAAAAAAAGUAAUGAAAUGUAUUUAAAACAAAGAGAACAAAACUCGGAAAAAAUAUAAAAAUAUUUUAGAUAAUAAAACAAUAAUGUAUUUUCCUAUUUAUAUUAAACCAAAUAAUCGAUUGAAACAAACAUACAACUCUUUUUGAAUCAACAAUAAAUCUCUUUUAAAAACAAAAAAAACCGACUUAAUCCACCUACAGUGAAC